Papaver somniferum (opium poppy) is the source of this 317-nucleotide long non-coding RNA. RefSeq lists it as uncharacterized. Lineage: Eukaryota; Viridiplantae; Streptophyta; Magnoliopsida; Ranunculales; Papaveraceae. The record is from RefSeq and is a predicted model, not a curated record. The transcript is spliced from 2 exons.
AUUUGAAUCUAUUUAGAUUUUUAUUUUUAAUGUAAUGGAGAAAUUCAACUGAGAUACGUAUUUGAAGUUAUUGUUACCUACAGAUGAAGACAAUCAACAAAGAAUCAAUCAAGGUUCAAUAUGUCCAACGGAUACAUACUCUAUGUGUAAGCAGUGCGGCAGAUAUAUACCCAGAUUUGCAAGUAGUAUAGCAGAUAUGUACUCAGAUUUGUAAGCAGUUUAGCAGAUAUGUACUCAAAUUUGUAAGCAGUAUGGCAGAUAUGUACUCAAAUUUGUAAACAGUGUAGCAGAUAUGUACUCAAAUUUGUGGUCUUUUA